UAAGGCGUGACAAAGACAUCCAAAGUCGUACGCUGUGUGUACAGUUCAACUGAUUUGAAGAGCUUGCUCAGAUAUGACGAUGGACAUUGCAAAGAGUGGCGAACGGGUGAGUAACACGUGGGAAACCUACCUCUUAGCAGGGGAUAACAUUUGGAAACAGAUGCUAAUACCGUAUAACAAUAGCAACCGCAUGGUUGCUACUUAAAAGAUGGUUCUGCUAUCACUAAGAGAUGGUCCCGCGGUGCAUUAGUUAGUUGGUGAGGUAAUGGCUCACCAAGACGAUGAUGCAUAGCCGAGUUGAGAGACUGAUCGGCCACAAUGGGACUGAGACACGGCCCAUACUCCUACGGGAGGCAGCAGUAGGGAAUCUUCCACAAUGGGCGAAAGCCUGAUGGAGCAACGCCGCGUGUGUGAUGAAGGGUUUCGGCUCGUAAAACACUGUUGUAAGAGAAGAAUGACAUUGAGAGUAACUGUUCAAUGUGUGACGGUAUCUUACCAGAAAGGAACGGCUAAAUACGUGCCAGCAGCCGCGGUAAUACGUAUGUUCCAAGCGUUAUCCGGAUUUAUUGGGCGUAAAGCGAGCGCAGACGGUUAUUUAAGUCUGAAGUGAAAGCCCUCAGCUCAACUGAGGAAUUGCUUUGGAAACUGGAUGACUUGAGUGCAGUAGAGGAAAGUGGAACUCCAUGUGUAGCGGUGAAAUGCGUAGAUAUAUGGAAGAACACCAGUGGCGAAGGCGGCUUUCUGGACUGUAACUGACGUUGAGGCUCGAAAGUGUGGGUAGCAAACAGGAUUAGAUACCCUGGUAGUCCACACCGUAAACGAUGAGUGCUAGGUGUUUGAGGGUUUCCGCCCUUAAGUGCCGCAGCUAACGCAUUAAGCACUCCGCCUGGGGAGUACGACCGCAAGGUUGAACUCAAAGGAUUGACGGGGACCCGCACAGCGGUGGAGCAUGUGUUUAUUCGAAGCACGCGAGACCUUACCAGGUCUUGACAUCCCUUGACACUCAGAGAUG
Molecule: ribosomal RNA, 1012 nt
Filed under: Weissella cibaria
Lineage: Bacteria; Bacillati; Bacillota; Bacilli; Lactobacillales; Lactobacillaceae
Description: bacterial SSU rRNA
Rfam family: Bacterial small subunit ribosomal RNA
Source: RNAcentral